AGGGUAAUAGUUAAUUAUAACAUUUAAUUUGCACUUAAAAAGUAUUGAUUAUUCAAUUUACCUU
This 64-nucleotide transfer RNA is filed under the name Adoretus sp. ADO01. Its description in RNAcentral is "tRNA-Ala". It matches the Rfam family "tRNA". Rfam says of the family: Transfer RNA (tRNA) molecules are approximately 80 nucleotides in length. Their secondary structure includes four short double-helical elements and three loops (D, anti-codon, and T loops). Further hydrogen bonds mediate the characteristic L-shaped molecular structure. tRNAs have two regions of fundamental functional importance: the anti-codon, which is responsible for specific mRNA codon recognition, and the 3' end, to which the tRNAs corresponding amino acid is attached (by aminoacyl-tRNA synthetases). tRNAs cope with the degeneracy of the genetic code in two manners: having more than one tRNA (with a specific anti-codon) for a particular amino acid; and 'wobble' base-pairing, i.e. permitting non-standard base-pairing at the 3rd anti-codon position. Lineage: Eukaryota; Metazoa; Arthropoda; Insecta; Coleoptera; Scarabaeidae. The record is from RNAcentral.